AGACUCGAGCAAUUUUCUCACUUCAGCCUCCUGAGUUGCUGGGACCACAGGUGCACGCACCACCCCCUGGCUUUUAUUUUUUUAUUUUUUUUAUUUUUUGGCAGAGACAGUGUCGCCUUAUGUUGCCCAGGCUGAACACCUGUGUCUCUUAACCUAAGAGCUGUCUCCAGCACAGGAUGCAAGACAGCCCCAAAAAAGUGUUAGGGACUUAAAGCCACCAGAAGCUUUUCUUAACCAAUGGAAUACAGGAGUCAAUGGGAACAUCCUGUCCAGAGGAAAGGAUAUUUAAGGAGAAAGGAAGCAGCACAAGUUCGACUCAGCCAAGAAACAGAGGAAGGACAUCCCAAGCACGAAGUGGGGCACCAGUCUGUGUUCCAGCGAGAGAUAAAAGGGAGAGACACAACUGGCUCCAGCCCUUUUCCUGCCUCUUCCUGCUUUGAAUACUCACAUGAUACCUGGAGCUGCAGCAGCCAUCUUGUUUACCAAGAAGAAAAGCCAAGAUGAUCACAGAAUAGCCAGCACUGGUAUUGUUCCGCCAGCGACAGCAGAUACUUACCUCCAGAUUUUUGGGGAAAAAAAAUGAGCUGGAGUGACUCUCUUGGUCCCUAAGGUGGAAGCCAUGUGUUGAGGACACUGAGCAACAAGAUAGGAGGAGCCUGGGGCCCAGCCAGAGAACAGGAAGCCACCCAAAUAGCUCUCAACCCCUUAUAGAUGGACUACUAAAUGGGAAAUAAAGUAGACUGUUCUCUC
This 750-nucleotide long non-coding RNA is filed under the name Homo sapiens (human). RNAcentral describes it as "non-protein coding LINC01754:9". The record is from RNAcentral. Lineage: Eukaryota; Metazoa; Chordata; Mammalia; Primates; Hominidae.